GCCAGCAGCCAUAUCACCCUUGCAACCCACUGAAGCUCAGCAGGUGUGAGCCUGGUCAGUACCUGGAUGGGAGACCUCCUGGGAAAAACUAAGGUUGCUGCUGGAA
This 106-nucleotide ribosomal RNA is filed under the name Lepisosteus oculatus (spotted gar). Lineage: Eukaryota; Metazoa; Chordata; Actinopteri; Semionotiformes; Lepisosteidae. The record is from RNAcentral.